AACGCUGGCGGCGUGCCUAAUACAUGCAAGUCGAGCGAACAGACGAGGAGCUUGCUUCUCUGACGUUAGCGGCGGACGGGUGAGUAACACGUGGAUAACCUACCUAUAAGACUGGGAUAACUUCGGGAAACCGGAGCUAAUACCGGAUAAUAUAUUGAACCGCAUGGUUCAAUAGUGAAAGACGGUUUUGCUGUCACUUAUAGAUGGAUCCGCGCCGCAUUAGCUAGUUGGUAAGGUAACGGCUUACCAAGGCAACGAUGCGUAGCCGACCUGAGAGGGUGAUCGGCCACACUGGAACUGAGACACGGUCCAGACUCCUACGGGAGGCAGCAGUAGGGAAUCUUCCGCAAUGGGCGAAAGCCUGACGGAGCAACGCCGCGUGAGUGAUGAAGGUCUUCGGAUCGUAAAACUCUGUUAUUAGGGAAGAACAAAUGUGUAAGUAACUAUGCACGUCUUGACGGUACCUAAUCAGAAAGCCACGGCUAACUACGUGCCAGCAGCCGCGGUAAUACGUAGGUGGCAAGCGUUAUCCGGAAUUAUUGGGCGUAAAGCGCGCGUAGGCGGUUUUUUAAGUCUGAUGUGAAAGCCCACGGCUCAACCGUGGAGGGUCAUUGGAAACUGGAAAACUUGAGUGCAGAAGAGGAAAGUGGAAUUCCAUGUGUAGCGGUGAAAUGCGCAGAGAUAUGGAGGAACACCAGUGGCGAAGGCGACUUUCUGGUCUGUAACUGACGCUGAUGUGCGAAAGCGUGGGGAUCAAACAGGAUUAGAUACCCUGGUAGUCCACGCCGUAAACGAUGAGUGCUAAGUGUUAGGGGGUUUCCGCCCCUUAGUGCUGCAGCUAACGCAUUAAGCACUCCGCCUGGGGAGUACGA
Molecule: ribosomal RNA, 872 nt
Filed under: uncultured Staphylococcus sp.
Lineage: Bacteria; Bacillati; Bacillota; Bacilli; Caryophanales; Staphylococcaceae
Description: bacterial SSU rRNA
Rfam family: Bacterial small subunit ribosomal RNA
Source: RNAcentral